CUAAUACUGAAGUCGAGCGGACAGAAGGGAGCUUGCUCCCGGAUGUUAGCGGCGGACGGGUGAGUAACACGUGGGUAACCUGCCUGUAAGACUGGGAUAACUCCGGGAAACCGGAGCUAAUACCGGAUAGUUCCUUGAACCGCAUGGUUCAAGGAUGAAAGACGGUUUCGGCUGUCACUUACAGAUGGACCCGCGGCGCAUUAGCUAGUUGGUGGGGUAAUGGCUCACCAAGGCGACGAUGCGUAGCCGACCUGAGAGGGUGAUCGGCCACACUGGGACUGAGACACGGCCCAGACUCCUACGGGAGGCAGCAGUAGGGAAUCUUCCGCAAUGGACGAAAGUCUGACGGAGCAACGCCGCGUGAGUGAUGAAGGUUUUCGGAUCGUAAAGCUCUGUUGUUAGGGAAGAACAAGUGCGAGAGUAACUGCUCGCACCUUGACGGUACCUAACCAGAAAGCCACGGCUAACUACGUGCCAGCAGCCGCGGUAAUACGUAGGUGGCAAGCGUUGUCCGGAAUUAUUGGGCGUAAAGGGCUCGCAGGCGGUUUCUUAAGUCUGAUGUGAAAGCCCCCGGCUCAACCGGGGAGGGUCAUUGGAAACUGGGAAACUUGAGUGCAGAAGAGGAGAGUGGAAUUCCACGUGUAGCGGUGAAAUGCGUAGAGAUGUGGAGGAACACCAGUGGCGAAGGCGACUCUCUGGUCUGUAACUGACGCUGAGGAGCGAAAGCGUGGGGAGCGAACAGGAUUAGAUACCCUGGUAGUCCACGCCGUAAACGAUGAGUGCUAAGUGUUAGGGGGUUUCCGCCCCUUAGUGCUGCAGCUAACGCAUUAAGCACUCCGCCUGGGGAGUACGGUCGCAAGACUGAAACUCAAAGGAAUUGACGGGGGCCCGCACAAGCGGUGGAGCAUGUGGUUUAAUUCGAAGCAACGCGAAGAACCUUACCAGGUCUUGACAUCCUCUGACAACCCUAGAGAUAGGGCUUUCCCUUCGGGGACAGAGUGACAGGUGGUGCAUGGUUGUCGUCAGCUCGUGUCGUGAGAUGUUGGGUUAAGUCCCGCAACGAGCGCAACCCUUGAUCUUAGUUGCCAGCAUUCAGUUGGGCACUCAGGUGACUGCCGGUGACAAACCGGA
RNAcentral lists this ribosomal RNA (1131 nucleotides) under Bacillus safensis. RNAcentral describes it as "bacterial SSU rRNA". It matches the Rfam family "Bacterial small subunit ribosomal RNA", at positions 48 to 1167 of the family's 1533-position model. The record is from RNAcentral. Lineage: Bacteria; Bacillati; Bacillota; Bacilli; Caryophanales; Bacillaceae.